RNAcentral lists this ribosomal RNA (460 nucleotides) under uncultured bacterium. RNAcentral describes it as "partial 16S ribosomal RNA". It matches the Rfam family "Bacterial small subunit ribosomal RNA", at positions 338 to 795 of the family's 1533-position model. The record is from RNAcentral.
CCUACGGGAGUCAGCAGUGAGGAAUAUUGGUCAAUGGCCGGAAGGCUGAACCAGCCAUGCCGCGUGAAGGUCAGUGCCCUAUGGGCGUUAAACUUCUUUUGUGCGGGAGCAAUAAUGGUCAAGUGUGGCCAGACGAGAGUACCGUACGAAUAAGCAUCGGCUAACUCCGUUCCAGCAGCCGCGGUAAUACGGGGGAUGCAAGCGUUAUCCGGAUUUAUUGGGGUUAAAGGGUGCGUAGGCGGGGAGGUAAGUCAGCGGUGAAAUGCCCCCGCUCAACGGGGUGAAGUGCCAUUGAUACUGCCUAGCUGGAAUGCGGAAGCCGUGGGAGGAAUGUGUGGUGUAGCGGUGAAAUGCAUAGAUAUCACACAGAACACCGAUUGCGAAGGCAGCUCACGAAUCCUCGAUUGACGCUGAUGCACGAAAGCGUGGGUAUCAAACAGGAUUAGAUACCCUGGUAGUC